UACGGAGGGUGCGAGCGUUGUCCGGAAUCACUGGGCGUAAAGAGCGUGUAGGCGGCCUGAAAGGUCAGCUGUGAAAACUCGAGGCUCAACCUCGAGACGUCGGUUGAAACCAUCUGGCUAGAGUCCGGAAGAGGAGUGUGGAAUUCCCGGUGUAGCGGUGAAAUGCGCAGAUAUCGGGAAGAACACCCGUGGCGAAGGCGGCACUCUGGGACGGUACUGACGCUGAGACGCGAAAGCGUGGGGAGCGAACAGG
RNAcentral lists this ribosomal RNA (253 nucleotides) under uncultured bacterium. RNAcentral's name for it is "partial 16S ribosomal RNA". It matches the Rfam family "Bacterial small subunit ribosomal RNA", at positions 524 to 776 of the family's 1533-position model. The record is from RNAcentral.